RNAcentral lists this ribosomal RNA (301 nucleotides) under uncultured bacterium. Its description in RNAcentral is "partial 16S ribosomal RNA". It matches the Rfam family "Bacterial small subunit ribosomal RNA", at positions 509 to 809 of the family's 1533-position model. The record is from RNAcentral.
CAGCAGCCGCGGGAAUACGAAGGGGGCUAGCGUUGCUCGGAAUCACUGGGCGUAAAGGGUGCGUAGGCGGGUCUUUAAGUCAGGGGUGAAAUCCUGGAGCUCAACUCCAGAACUGCCUUUGAUACUGAAGAUCUUGUGUUCGGGAGAGGUGAGUGGAACUGCGAGUGUAGAGGUGAAAUUCGUAGAUAUUCGCAAGAACACCAGUGGCGAAGGCGGCUCACUGGCCCGAUACUGACGCUGAGGUGCGAAAGCGUGGGGAGCAAACAGGAUUAGAUACCCCAGUAGUCCCUGUCUCUUAUAA